This 259-nucleotide unclassified non-coding RNA is filed under the name Endoconidioma populi. RNAcentral describes it as "sequence contains 5.8S rRNA gene". The stretch from base 1 to 53 matches the Rfam family "5.8S ribosomal RNA", at positions 102 to 154 of the family's 154-position model. The record is from RNAcentral. Lineage: Eukaryota; Fungi; Ascomycota; Dothideomycetes; Dothideales; Dothideaceae.
GAACGCACAUUGCGCCCCUUGGUAUUCCGAGGGGCAUGCCUGUUCGAGCGUCAUUACACCACUCAAGCACCGCUUGGUAUUGGGCAUCGUCCGCCGUAAAGGCGGGCGUGCCUCGAAGACCUCGGCGGGGUUUCUCCAACUUCGGGCGUAGUAGAGUUAAAUCAAAACGUCUUAUAAGCUUGGUGAGAUCUCAUUGCCGUUAAACCUUUUAUAUUUUUCAGGUUGACCUCGGAUCAGGUAGGGAUACCCGCUGAACUUA